UCGAGCGUCUCGAACGGAGACGUUCUUUGUCAUAGCAUGAGUGUUGUAACGAACCCAAAUGGACAUUAAAACGUGCGAGAAAACUUAUUCAUGCAGCAAGACAUCUACAGCAACUUGAAGAAGCACCUGGAAUUCAUUUUCAGAUGUCCACGUCAUCAUGCGGCCGCGAUACCGAUGCCGUUAUCUGCAAGCUCCGGCCCGUUCUUCUUAUCACUCUUAUCAUUCUUCUUGUUUUAUUCCAGCCUUCGGAUAUCUGAUGCCUCCAUAUUAAUGUGUGAUAGGGCAGCAUAAUUCACGGAUGAGAUGGCAUAAUUAUAUGCGGGGGAUGUCUGCCUGGCAGUACAGCUCAAGUGAAAAAACGACAUCGAUUCUGCCCUCAUAGCCUUUUUUCUUAUUAAAAAAUCGGUAAAUAAUAAUACAAUAACGUAAUUUUAGGAACAGGUA
Ornithodoros turicata is the source of this 444-nucleotide long non-coding RNA. RefSeq lists it as uncharacterized. Lineage: Eukaryota; Metazoa; Arthropoda; Arachnida; Ixodida; Argasidae. The transcript has 4 exons. The record is from RefSeq and is a predicted model, not a curated record.